AACGUAGGACACGAGCGUUAUCCGGAGUUACUGGGCGUAAAGGGCGGGUAGGUGGCAUAGUAAGUCUGGUGUGAAAGCCUGCGGCUUAACCGCGGGAGGACACUGGCGACUGCUAAGCUCGAGGCAGAUAGAGGGGUGUAGAAUUCCGGGUGUAGUGGUGAAAUGCGUAGAGAUCCGGAGGAAUACCAGAGGCGAAGGCGGCACCCUGGGUCUGACCUGACACUGAUCCGCGACAGCAUGGGGAGCGAACGGG
This 253-nucleotide ribosomal RNA is filed under the name uncultured bacterium. Its description in RNAcentral is "partial 16S ribosomal RNA". It matches the Rfam family "Bacterial small subunit ribosomal RNA", at positions 524 to 776 of the family's 1533-position model. The record is from RNAcentral.